Long non-coding RNA from Xenia sp. Carnegie-2017, 488 nucleotides. RefSeq lists it as uncharacterized. The record is from RefSeq and is a predicted model, not a curated record. NCBI's taxonomy places the organism in Eukaryota, Metazoa, Cnidaria, Anthozoa, Malacalcyonacea, Xeniidae. The transcript has 2 exons.
UACGACUUCGUGUCACGUGUCCUAAACCUUUGAUCGCUUCGGUAAACGGUCCAACAGCUGGAUUUGGUCUUUCCCUUCUCGCAUUGUGUGAUAUAGUCUUUGCUUCAGAAAAGUGCCUGCGAGACACAAAGACGUUGAUGGUCAGCAGUAAUAUGAAGAACUUGAGUUUAAAAAUCACGAGGAAUGCGAUUUGUUUCAAAAGUACAUCAGCAACGAUGAUAUUGUGGAUUGCAUCGUAAGUUGAUGGUGGACGAGGUUACAGGAAUGACUUACCAUCCAGGUAUACUUGCGAUCAGACUUAUGGCGCGUGCUAAUAUUUAUUGUACAAAUAGGAUAAUGUGUCCCAAUGAUCCGUUUGUAACCGUUACGCAGCGGAAAUUGUAUUCCUAAUGAUCCGUUUGUAACCUUUACGCAGCGGAAUUUGUAGCGUUGUUUGUGUAAAUCAUUCGUAACUUGAGUUGAAUAACAAAACAUAUUCGUUCAUUUAA